Molecule: ribosomal RNA, 1343 nt
Filed under: uncultured bacterium
Lineage: Bacteria
Description: 16S ribosomal RNA
Rfam family: Bacterial small subunit ribosomal RNA
Source: RNAcentral
GACGAACGCUGGCGGCGUGCUUAACACAUGCAAGUCGAACGGAAAGGCCCUGCUUUUGUGGGGUGCUCGAGUGGCGAACGGGUGAGUAACACGUGAGUAACCUGCCCUUGACUUUGGGAUAACUUCAGGAAACUGGGGCUAAUACCGGAUAGGAGCUCCUGCUGCAUGGUGGGGGUUGGAAAGUUUCGGCGGUUGGGGAUGGACUCGCGGCUUAUCAGCUUGUUGGUGGGGUAGUGGCUUACCAAGGCUUUGACGGGUAGCCGGCCUGAGAGGGUGACCGGCCACAUUGGGACUGAGAUACGGCCCAGACUCCUACGGGAGGCAGCAGUGGGGAAUAUUGCACAAUGGGCGGAAGCCUGAUGCAGCAACGCCGCGUGCGGGGUGACGGCCUUCGGGUUGUAAACCGCUUUCGCCUGUGACGAAGCGUGAGUGACGGUAAUGGGUAAAGAAGCACCGGCUAACUACGUGCCAGCAGCCGCGGUGAUACGUAGGGUGCGAGCGUUGUCCGGAUUUAUUGGGCGUAAAGGGCUCGUAGGUGGUUGAUCGCGUCGGAAGUGUAAUCUUGGGGCUUAACCCUGAGCGUGCUUUCGAUACGGGUUGACUUGAGGAAGGUAGGGGAGAAUGGAAUUCCUGGUGGAGCGGUGGAAUGCGCAGAUAUCAGGAGGAACACCAGUGGCGAAGGCGGUUCUCUGGGCCUUUCCUGACGCUGAGGAGCGAAAGCGUGGGGAGCGAACAGGCUUAGAUACCCUGGUAGUCCACGCUGUAAACGGUGGGUACUAGGUGUGGGGUCCAUUCCACGGGUUCCGUGCCGUAGCUAACGCUUUAAGUACCCCGCCUGGGGGGUACGGCCGCAAGGCUAAAACUCAAAGGAAUUGACGGGGCCCCGCACAAGCGGCGGAGCAUGCGGAUUAAUUCGAUGCAACGCGUAGAACCUUACCUGGGUUUGACAUGGAUCGGGAGUGCUCAGAGAUGGGUGUGCCUCUUUUGGGGUCGGUUCACAGGUGGUGCAUGGCUGUCGUCAGCUCGUGUCGUGAGAUGUUGGGUUAAGUCCCGCAACGAGCGCAACCCUUGUUCACUGUUGCCAGCACGUUAUGGUGGGGACUCAGUGGAGACCGCCGGGGUCAACUCGGAGGAAGGUGGGGAUGACGUCAAGUCAUCAUGCCCCUUAUGUCCAGGGCUUCACGCAUGCUACAAUGGCUGGUACAGAGAGUGGCGAGCCUGUGAGGGUGAGCGAAUCUCGGAAAGCCGGUCUCAGUUCGGAUUGGGGUCUGCAACUCGACCUCAUGAAGUCGGAGUCGCUAGUAAUCGCAGAUCAGCAACGCUGCGGUGAAUACGUUCCCGGG